Molecule: ribosomal RNA, 478 nt
Filed under: uncultured bacterium
Lineage: Bacteria
Description: partial 16S ribosomal RNA
Rfam family: Bacterial small subunit ribosomal RNA
Source: RNAcentral
GAUGAACGCUGGCGGCGUGCCUAACACAUGCAAGUCGAACGGAGUCCAGCCUUUAAGACCUUCGGGUCAAAGAGGGGAAGACUGAGUGGCGGACGGGUGAGUAACACGUGGGCAACCUGGCUCAUAGAGGGGGAUAACAGAGAGAAAUUUCUGCUAAUACCGCAUAAGCACACACUGCUGCAUGGCAGAGGGUGAAAAGAGAAUCGCUAUGAGAUGGACCCGCGUCUGAUUAGCCAGUUGGCAGGGUAAGAGCCUACCAAAGCGACGAUCAGUAGCCGAUCUGAGAGGAUGAACGGCAACAUUGGGACUGAGACACGGCCCAAACUCCUACGGGAGGCAGCAGUGGGGGAUAUUGCACAAUGGGGGGAACCCUGAUGCAGCGACGCCGCGUGAGUGAAGAAGUAUUUCGGUAUGUAAAGCUCUAUCAGCAGGGAAGAUAAUGACAGUACCUGAAUAAGAAGCCCCGGCUAACUACGUG